CGCGGCCUAUCAGCUUGUUGGUGAGGUAAUGGCUCACCAAGGCGACGACGGGUAGCCGGCCUGAGAGGGCGACCGGCCACACUGGGACUGAGACACGGCCCAGACUCCUACGGGAGGCAGCAGUAGGGAAUAUUGGGCAAUGGGCGCAAGCCUGACCCAGCGACGCCGCGUGAGGGAUGAAGGUCUUCGGAUUAUAAACCUCUUUCAGUAGGGAAGAAGCGAAAGUGACGGUACCUAAAGAAGAAGCACCGGCUAACUAUGUGCCAGCAGCCGCGGUAAUACAUAGGGUGCAAGCGUUGUCCGGAAUUAUUGGGCGUAAAGAGCUCGUAGGUUGUUUGUCGCGUCGAUUGUGAAAAUCUGAGGCUCAACCUCAGACCUGCAGUCGAUACGGGCAAACUAGAGUGUGGUAGGGGAGACUGGAAUUCCUGGUGUAGCGGUGGAAUGCGCAGAUAUCAGGAGGAACACCAAUGGCGAAGGCAGGUCUCUGGGCCAUAACUGACACUGAGGAGCGAAAGUGCGGGGAGCGAACAGGAUUAGAUACCCUGGUAGUCCGCACCGUAAACGGUGGGCACUAGUUGUGGGAACCUUCCACGGUUUCCGCGACGCAGCAAACGCAUUAAGUGCCCCGCCUGGGGAGUACGG
Molecule: ribosomal RNA, 642 nt
Filed under: uncultured Actinomycetes bacterium
Lineage: Bacteria; Bacillati; Actinomycetota; Actinomycetes
Description: bacterial SSU rRNA
Rfam family: Bacterial small subunit ribosomal RNA
Source: RNAcentral